GGGAGAGGAGCCCCAGCCCCGGGAUUCCCAGGUGUUUCCUUUUGGUGAUCAGCACUGAACACAGACCACCAACCAUGGAGUUCGGGCUGAGCUGGGUUUUCCUUGUUGCUAUUUUAAAAGGUGUCCAGUGUGAGGUGCAGCUGGUGGAGUCUGGGGGAGGCUUGGUACAGCCUGGGGGGUCCCUGAGACUCUCCUGUGCAGCCUCCGGAUUCACCUCGGGUAACUCUGACUUGAUCUGGAUCCGCCAGGCUCCAGGGAAGGGUCUGGAGUGGGUCUCAUACAUUAGUAGUGGUGGUAGCAUAUACUACUCAGACUCUGUCAAGGGCCGAUUCACCAUCUCCAGAGACAACGCCAAGAACACGCUGUAUCUGCAAAUGAGCAGCCUGAGAGUGGAGGACACGGCUGUGUAUUACUGUGCAAAAGACACAGUGAGGAGAAGUCACUGAGCCCAGACACAAACCUCCCUGCAGGAACGCUGGGGAGAAAUCAGCUGCAGGGGGCGCUCAGGAGCCACUGAUCAGAGUCAGCCCCAGAGGCAGACUCAUCUGCGAAUGCAGUUGGCUGUUAAUAGUGAAGGGGAUAAACUUAUUUUAUUAAAAUGGGAUGAGGAUGUGGAAUUAACCCUGUUCAAACUGUCAGUCAUCUGCUUCAGAAAACCUGUGCAUGCCACAGCUGUGUAUAUCAGUGCACUCUUGGCCUGGCGAAGCCCUCACAGACCCUCUUCCUCACCUGUGCUGUCUCUGAAUUUCCCAUCACAACCAGUGCUUCCUGCUGGAGUGGGAUCCAUCAGCUCCUCAGGGAAGGGACUGGAGCGAAUCAGGUGCACAGGUCAUGAGGGGAGUGCACAAUCCAACCCACUCCUCAAAGUCCAGUCACCAUCUCCAGAUCCAUAUCCAAAUAAACAGUUUCUCCUACAGCUGAGCUACCUGAACAACGAGUCCACAACCAUGAUUUUUAUAGAAAAGUCACAGCGAGGGAAAGACGUUGCGAGCCCAGACACAAACCUCCCUGCCGGGAAGCUCAGGAGCAGCACGAGGCGCUGA
Molecule: RNA transcript, 1043 nt
Organism: Cercocebus atys (sooty mangabey)
Lineage: Eukaryota; Metazoa; Chordata; Mammalia; Primates; Cercopithecidae
Exons: 4
Source: RefSeq, a predicted model, not a curated record